CAAGCAGCCGCGGUAAUUCCAGCUCCAAUAGCGUAUAUAAAAGUUGUUGCCGUUAAAAAGCUCGUAGUCGAACCUCGGCGCCUGAUGGCCGGUCCGCCUUCUUGGUGUGUACUUGCUCAUCGGGCGCUUACCUCCUGGUGAACUCUGAUGUCCUUUACUGGGUGUCAGAGCAAACCAGGACGUUUACUUUGAAAAAAUUAGAGUGUUCAAAGCAGGCCUACGCCCGAAUACAUUAGCAUGGAAUAAUAGAAUAGGACGCGCGUUCCCAUUUUGUUGGUUUCUGAGAUCGCCGUAAUGAUUAAUAGGGAUAGUUGGGGGCAUUUGUAUUCCGUCGUCAGAGGUGAAAUUCUUGGAUUGCCGGAAGACAAACUACUGCGAAAGCAUUUGCCAAGGAUGUUUUCAUUGAUCAAGAACGAAGGAAGGGGGAUCGAAAACGAUCAGAUACCGUUGUAGUCUCUUCUGUAAACUAUGCCAAUUGGGGAUUAGCACAGGAUUUUCAAUGACUGUGUUAGCACCCGAAGAGAAAUCUUUAAAUGAGGUUCGGGGGGGAGUAUGGUCGCAAGGCUGAAACUUAAAGGAAUUGACGGAAGGGCACCACCAGGUGUGGAGCCUGCGGCUUAAUUUGACUCAACACGGGGAAACUCACCAGGUCCAGACACAAUAAGGAUUGACAGAUUGAUAGCUCUUUCUUGAUCUUGUGGUUGGUGGUGCAUGGCCGUUCUUAGUUGGUGGAGUGAUUUGUCUGGUUAAUUCCGAUAACGAACGAGACCUUAACCUGCUAAAUAGACCAGUCGACUUUGGUUGACUGCUGUCUUCUUAGAGGGACUAUCAGCGUUUAGCUGAUGGAAGUUUGAGGCAAUAACAGGUCUGUGAUGCCC
Molecule: ribosomal RNA, 878 nt
Filed under: uncultured Sporidiobolales
Lineage: Eukaryota; Fungi; Basidiomycota; Microbotryomycetes; Sporidiobolales
Description: SSU rRNA
Rfam family: Eukaryotic small subunit ribosomal RNA
Source: RNAcentral